GUGGGGAAUCUUGCGCAAUGGGCGAAAGCCUGACGCAGCCAUGCCGCGUGAAUGAUGAAGGUCUUAGGAUUGUAAAAUUCUUUCACCGGGGACGAUAAUGACGGUACCCGGAGAAGAAGCUCCGGCUAACUUCGUGCCAGCAGCCGCGGUAAUACGAAGGGGGCUAGCGUUGCUCGGAAUUACUGGGCGUAAAGGGCGCGUAGGCGGACAGUUUAGUCAGAGGUGAAAGCCCAGGGCUCAACCUUGGAAUUGCCUUUGAUACUGGCUGUCUUGAGUACGGGAGAGGUGAGUGGAACUCCGAGUGUAGAGGUGAAAUUCGUAGAUAUUCGGAAGAACACCAGUGGCGAAGGCGACUCACUGGCCCGUUACUGACGCUGAGGCGCGAAAGCGUGGGGAGCAAACAGGAUUAGAAACCCGGGUAGUCC
RNAcentral lists this ribosomal RNA (425 nucleotides) under uncultured bacterium. RNAcentral's name for it is "partial 16S ribosomal RNA". It matches the Rfam family "Bacterial small subunit ribosomal RNA", at positions 354 to 796 of the family's 1533-position model. The record is from RNAcentral.